RNAcentral lists this ribosomal RNA (407 nucleotides) under uncultured bacterium. RNAcentral describes it as "partial 16S ribosomal RNA". It matches the Rfam family "Bacterial small subunit ribosomal RNA", at positions 28 to 526 of the family's 1533-position model. The record is from RNAcentral.
GACGAACGCUGGCGGCGUGCCUAAUACAAGCAAGUAGAACGCAGUGGCGAAAGGGUGAGUAACGCGUAUGUAACGGCCUCAUAGCGGGGGAUAACUAUUGGAAACGAUAGCUAAUACCGCACACUGUGAGCUGGACCUGCGUUGUAUGAGCUAGUUGGUGAGGUAACGGCCCACCAAGGCGACGAUACAUAGCCGACCUGAGAGGUGGAUCCACCACACUGGAAUGGAGACAGGGCCCGUAUUCAUCCGGGCGGCAGCAGUAGGGAAAAUUCGGCAAUGUACGGAAGUCUGACCGAACAACGCCGCGUGAUGCAAUGAGGUUUUCGGAACGUGCCGCUCUGUUGUUGGAGGAGCGGUAACUAACCAGACAGGGACGGCUAACCAAGUGCCAGCAACCGCGGUAAUUC